ACUCCAUGUAUAUAAACAAAGGGUGACCUCAUCUGUUUACACGCUCCGAGACUCGCCUGGUAAAAGCCGCUUCAUUCCGUCUCCAAAUGGCUACAGACAUGGAAACAUUCCUUUCUUUUGAGGAAACAUAUUACGAUCAAUAUGACUAUUAUAAUAUUCGUGAAUACUCAUGCCAUGCUUGUGGCAAAGGGAGAUCCAAGCGAGAAAUCGAGCUGAACACAAACCGCCAUUGUCCCUCCGGACACGAGAGGAAGAUAGCAGAAAAAUUUCACAACAGCGAAGUGAAACGCAGGAGACCCAAAAUCGUGUCUUGAUGGCUUUCGGUGUUUUCAGAUCCGGACACAAAGUCGGAUUCCCGAUGUUGACCAUGGCCGAGGUUCCCUGCCUUCCCUGACCCGUGAAUGGAGCGCUGUGACACCGGGAACAUGCCCCGUAAUCAGUCACGUGACACCUCUCCGUUCCAUUCUCUGGCGCUAUUACUCUCAAGUUACAGCCCUGCAAAUGUACUUUGUGUUGAGCUAUAUAGGUCAGUGGUGUGUGCUUGAUAAAUGUAUAGAGGUAUGUAGUUAAUUAUGUAGGUGCUGAAUAUAUUAUACUGUAUUUUUUAUUCAAUAAAAAACUGAUGCUAACUAAA
Cyclopterus lumpus (lumpfish) is the source of this 634-nucleotide long non-coding RNA. RefSeq lists it as uncharacterized. The transcript has 2 exons. The record is from RefSeq and is a predicted model, not a curated record. Lineage: Eukaryota; Metazoa; Chordata; Actinopteri; Perciformes; Cyclopteridae.